RNAcentral lists this ribosomal RNA (441 nucleotides) under uncultured bacterium. RNAcentral's name for it is "partial 16S ribosomal RNA". It matches the Rfam family "Bacterial small subunit ribosomal RNA", at positions 28 to 507 of the family's 1533-position model. The record is from RNAcentral.
GAUGAACGCUGGCGGCGUGCCUAAUACAUGCGAGUCGAACGGGGAGUAGCAAUACUCUUAGUGGCGAACGGGUGAGUAACGCGUUGGUACCUGCCCCGAAGCGGGGGAUAACGGACCGAAAGGUCCGCUAAUACCCCAUGUGCUCGGUAACGAGUAAAGGUGAAAACCACUUUGGGAGGGGCCUGCGUCCCAUCAGCUAGUUGGUAAGGUAACGGCUUACCAAGGCGAUGACGGGUAGGGGACCUGAGAGGGUGGCCCCCCACAAUGGAACUGAAACACGGUCCAUACACCUACGGGUGGCAGCAGUAGGGAAUAUUGGUAAUGGGCGCAAGCCUGAACCAGCAACGCCGCGUGUGCGAUGACGGCCUUCGGGUUGUAAAGCACUUUUGACUGGGACGAGGAAGGACGGUACCGGUCGAAUCAGCCUCGGCUAACUACGUG